GAUGAACGCUGGCGGCGUGCCUAAUACAUGCAAGUCGAGCGAACAGAUGAGGAGCUUGCUCCUCUGACGUUAGCGGCGGACGGGUGAGUAACACGUGGAUAACCUACCUAUAAGACUGGGAUAACUUCGGGAAACCGGAGCUAAUACCGGAUAAUAUAUUGAACCGCAUGGUUCAAUAGUGAAAGACGGUUUUGCUGUCACUUAUAGAUGGAUCCGCGCCGCAUUAGCUAGUUGGUAAGGUAACGGCUUACCAAGGCAACGAUGCGUAGCCGACCUGAGAGGGGGAGCGGCCACAGUGGAACUGACACAGGUCCCAGCCUCCGACGGGAGGCGGCGGUGGGGAUUCUUCCGCAAGGGGCGAAGCCCUACGGGAGCAGCCCCGCGGGAGGGAUAAGGGUCUCCGGAUCUUAAAACUUUUUUAUUGGGAAAAAAAAAAUGUGAAAGAAACUGUCCCCGUCUGGACGUUACCAAAUAAGAAAGCCCCGGCUACCUACGUG
RNAcentral lists this ribosomal RNA (497 nucleotides) under uncultured bacterium. RNAcentral describes it as "partial 16S ribosomal RNA". It matches the Rfam family "Bacterial small subunit ribosomal RNA", at positions 28 to 507 of the family's 1533-position model. The record is from RNAcentral.